UUGAACGCUGGCGGCAUGCUUUACACAUGCAAGUCGAACGGCAGCGCGGGCUUCGGCCUGGCGGCGAGUGGCGAACGGGUGAGUAAUGCAUCGGAACGUGCCCAGUAGUGGGGGAUAGCCCGGCGAAAGCCGGAUUAAUACCGCAUACGACCUGAGGGUGAAAGCGGGGGACCGAAAGGCCUCGCGCUAUUGGCGCGGCCGAUGUCGGAUUAGCUAGUUGGUGGGGUAAAGGCUUACCAAGGCGACGAUCCGUAGCUGGUCUGAGAGGACGACCAGCCACACUGGGACUGAGACACGGCCCAGACUCCUACGGGAGGCAGCAGUGGGGAAUUUUGGACAAUGGGGGCAACCCUGAUCCAGCCAUGCCGCGUGCGGGAAGAAGGCCUUCGGGUUGUAAACCGCUUUUGUUCGGGAAGAAAUCCUCUGGGCUAAUACCCCGGGGGGAUGACGGUACCGGAAGAAUAAGCACCGGCUAACUACGUG
RNAcentral lists this ribosomal RNA (483 nucleotides) under uncultured bacterium. RNAcentral's name for it is "partial 16S ribosomal RNA". It matches the Rfam family "Bacterial small subunit ribosomal RNA", at positions 29 to 507 of the family's 1533-position model. The record is from RNAcentral.